UAUGGUAAGUGCCAGCCGCCGCGGUAAUACGUAGGGCGCAAGCGUUAUCCGGAAUUAUUGGGCGUAAAGAGCUUGUAGGCGGUUCGUCGCGUCUGGUGUGAAAGCCCAUCGCUUAACGGUGGGUUUGCGCCGGGUACGGGCGGGCUAGAGUGCAGUAGGGGAGACUGGAAUUCUCGGUGUAACGGUGGAAUGUGUAGAUAUCGGGAAGAACACCAAUGGCGAAGGCAGGUCUCUGGGCUGUUACUGACGCUGAGAAGCGAAAGCGUGGGGAGCGAACAGG
RNAcentral lists this ribosomal RNA (280 nucleotides) under Gardnerella vaginalis ATCC 14018 = JCM 11026. RNAcentral's name for it is "partial 16S ribosomal RNA". It matches the Rfam family "Bacterial small subunit ribosomal RNA", at positions 497 to 776 of the family's 1533-position model. The record is from RNAcentral. Lineage: Bacteria; Bacillati; Actinomycetota; Actinomycetes; Bifidobacteriales; Bifidobacteriaceae.